GAGGUGGAGUGUAGGGGGGAAGGUAAUCGGGAGCGGUAAGCACUUCAAUGAUAUCGUCCACCGUGCCGGGGACGAUAGUACGACGCCCUCCUGUGUUACAACGGGGGGUGACGAGUUGAGCUCAUAUAUCCCUUUGAUCGGUGGUAAAGUACUUGUUCGACCCUAUAACACUCUUCACACCUACCGAUCUUGUACAGAUCGACUCCAACUACUACAAAAACCAGUAGACACCCCGCCAACAAUCGGAAGCGUGGGUACCUGGCUUUACCGCCCCAGUUCGUAAAACGGACAGUAAGAGGAGGGAAGUGGGAAGAACGAGCAGUCACCAAGACUAUCGUCCACCGCACUGAUGGUAGCCACUGGUUUUUACACACGUAGCAAAAGAAAGGACAGAGGAGAGGAGGCGAGUAGCAAGCCAGCGAUGAUAAAAAAACGGCACAAAGAACAGUGUGGAUAUAAUCAACAACGAACAAUAAAACAGAAAAUCGGUACCAAAGUAUCUAAAGCACAACCCACCGAAGGAGGACAACACAAAAGGAUGCUCACAGUAAGAGCAGCAGACCAAGUAAUAAAAACCAAACGUAACCAACCAACGAUCAUGAUAGUGGUAACAACCCCAACACAAUAAGUCAAACCACCGUACUACGUACGUACACACCGUAGCCCAAAUAAUCACCAUAUGGUAAGAAACUCAGACCCAUAUCAAGGGAUAAAACGAAAGGAAGUAGUUACAAUACUACGAAAACUGGGAGGGAUUGAGAGCUACAAGAAGAAGCAGAUCAUCCGAGAAGGAUGGUAGUAGCCUCCUACUUCACCGGUGACAGAACGCCACCUAAAGCCAACGACCUCCAUAACAAUAAAGACUAUCCUGAUAUCCCGAAAGAAUACAAUGUAUCGUGAUUGUGCUUAAGCAAUACAAACUCCAUCUGUCACUGUGUUGAUAACUCUUACGAGAUCAAAAGUAACAGAUCUGGUUCAACACAACCAAAAGUACGCGGCUUCACUUUCGGUGCAGGGGUUAGCACGAACUAAGCCAGGGCGUUACUGUUAUCAAUAACACACAAAACAAGAAUAACUCCCACAACAGAACCUCAAGAUCUCCUAUAGAGAUCCCACUUUAGUACACAGGAUUGGAAGAACUCCAACACGCCACUUCAACGAACCUCAACAAACAACGUAGAGCACCAACACUAGAGGCAUGUACCACCUCAACACAUAACAUCACCCUAAUGUACCUCACAAAAACCAAAUAAUACAACACACAAUACCACCACAUGUCACACAACAACAGCCGUAUACAAACCCAUCAUUAGAACUGUCAUAAGGAUCAACGUAUACAAGAUAUGCCACGUCCCUACCCUAACAUGUUAUUAUAUUAACAAGCGGGUGGUACGGCACAUAAUACCACCAAGUAACACACAUAGGCGAAUAUUGUGAGGAGAAAAUCCUUGUAUUAAGAGUACGAAUUGUGUUGAAAAUCCUUGUAUUAAUAUCGAAGUUCAUUAAUGUGGUGAAGAAGAAAAUAGUAAAGAAAGUGAAAACCUGAUUUCGUAGGGACUAGUAGUUGUUACCCAGACCCUAAAAUACUCAAGAGCUGUUAGUAGUCCACCUUACAAUUUAAAGUUCUACCCGAUAAAAAACAUCACAAAUAAUCAUCUAGGUUUUUUUAUCUUCAGUUAAAGAAGAGCUAGUCUAAAAUACCAUAAAAAAAAACCUUCAAUUGGAAGUGUUGUCAACAUAUACUCUUUUCAAUGGUUUGUGAUAUACUAAUUUUAGUAGAACACCACAUCGUUCCUAUUAUUUCAUUCAUCUUUAAUAACACCAAGACGUAUCCUGUAGUUUCUUCUUCUUCUUCUUCUUCUUCUUCUAGACUUGAUAAAGAAAGAAAGAUUGCAAUACUACUGAAACGAUACGAUACGAAUAAUGAACCCAACCCAUUGUUCUAAAGUCUAGAUUUGAUUAAGAUAGAAACACUACAAAUACUAAAUUUAAUGAAUCUUCAACAUACAUGGAUAAUCUCACAACUUGGCAUCUGGGGUUUCCACUGUCUACACUAUAGUAACCUUAUCGAUAUUAGGGUCCUAGUGUAAGUAGGCACUUCAAAAUUACGCGACGAGACACACUAAAAUGUCCGAACUGACGAGGAUAACACAUGAUACUAGCACAUAAGUUUACAUGAUAAAAUAUCUUCAAUUGUCAGGUCUACACAUAAAAGUACAACACCUACAAACUUACUAUUUUAAUGGGAACUUAUGUUUUCAGUUACCCUAUAUACUUUUCUUAUACAAUACCGGAGAGCGCAUUCAAAUGUAAACAGUCAUGGAUAAAAAUAGCCUAUAGUCAAAUAGCGAACGAGAGUGUGUGCAAACCGCACGGCGGUAUCCCAAAAACAAUGGUCAGUCAAAAACAAUCUUUAAGUUUUGUUCCUUUCAGCCUCCACUCGUUACGUUAUCUAACAUAUGAAGUUUAUAGGUGCCCAGGAGCCGCAACGAAGGUAGUCGGAAUCACACCAAACUUUUAAGUAACAUUAAAAUAAAUAAAUUUAACAGAGUAGAUCCAGAAGCUGAGUUUUGAACAAACUAGAACCGAUACCUUGGCGUACACCUGAAUAUCAGGUGAUUCGUGAAACAGGUUAUCGAACUGAAAUCUCAUUUUUACUCAACACGUGAAACCGAAGUUGUAACUACAUUUUAACCAAAAUGUACCCUACAGGUCAAACC
RNAcentral lists this ribosomal RNA (2720 nucleotides) under Triticum aestivum (bread wheat). RNAcentral's name for it is "partial small subunit ribosomal RNA". The record is from RNAcentral. Lineage: Eukaryota; Viridiplantae; Streptophyta; Magnoliopsida; Poales; Poaceae.